ACGAACGCUGGCGGCGUGCUUAACACAUGCAAGUCGCACGGAAAGGCCCUGCUUGCAGGGUACUCGAGUGGCGAACGGGUGAGUAACACGUGGGUGAUCUGCCCUGCACUUCGGGAUAAGCCUGGGAAACUGGGUCUAAUACCGGAUAGGAGCCAUUUUUAGUGUGAUGGUUGGAAAGUUUUUUCGGUGUAGGAUGAGCUCGCGGCCUAUCAGCUUGUUGGUGGGGUAAUGGCCUACCAAGGCGGCGACGGGUAGCCGGCCUGAGAGGGUGGACGGCCACAUUGGGACUGAGAUACGGCCCAGACUCCUACGGGAGGCAGCAGUGGGGAAUAUUGCACAAUGGGCGCAAGCCUGAUGCAGCGACGCCGCGUGGGGGAUGACGGCCUUCGGGUUGUAAACUCCUUUCGCUAGGGACGAAGCUUUUGUGACGGUACCUAGAUAAGAAGCACCGGCUAACUACGUG
Molecule: ribosomal RNA, 463 nt
Filed under: uncultured bacterium
Lineage: Bacteria
Description: partial 16S ribosomal RNA
Rfam family: Bacterial small subunit ribosomal RNA
Source: RNAcentral